AGGUCUUGGGAUAUUUGAGGUUAAACGUCUUUGGGUUUGAAUAGUACUGGGCUGGGUGACCUCCCGGGAAGUUCAAACUCAAGAGUUU
This is a non-coding RNA of Selaginella moellendorffii, 88 nucleotides long. The record is from Rfam. NCBI's taxonomy places the organism in Eukaryota, Viridiplantae, Streptophyta, Lycopodiopsida, Selaginellales, Selaginellaceae.